AGAGUUUGAUCAUGGCUCAGAACGAACGCUGGCGGCAUGCCUAACACAUGCAAGUCGAACGCGUGGCUUCGGCCACGAGUGGCGCACGGGUGAGUAACGCGUGGGAACCUGCCCAUUGGUACGGAACAACCGCGGGAAACUGCGGCUAAUACCGUAUACGCCCUGAGGGGGAAAGAUUCAUCGCCGAUGGAGGGGCCCGCGUCGGAUUAGGUAGUUGGUGGGGUAACGGCCUACCAAGCCGACGAUCCGUAGCUGGUCUGAGAGGAUGAUCAGCCACACUGGGACUGAGACACAGCCCAGACUCCUACGGGAGGCAGCAGUGGGGAAUAUUGGACAAUGGGCGCAAGCCUGAUCCAGCAAUGCCGCGUGAGUGAAGAAGGCCUUAGGGUUGUAAAGCUCUUUCGGCGGGGACGAUGAUGACGGUACCCGCAGAAGAAGCCCCGGCUAACUCCGUGCCAGCAGCCGCGGUAAUACGGAGGGGGCUAGCGUUGUUCGGAAUUACUGGGCGUAAAGGGCGCGUAGGCGGUUCAUCAAGUCGGGCGUGAAAGGCCUGGGCUCAACCCGGGAAUGGCGCUCGAGACUGGUGGGCUUGGAGUCCGGGAGAGGAUGGUGGAAUUCCCAGUGUAGAGGUGAAAUUCGUAGAUAUUGGGAAGAACACCGGUGGCGAAGGCGGCCAUCUGGACCGGUACUGNNNNUGAGGCGCGAAAGCGUGGGGAGCAAACAGGAUUAGAUACCCUAGUAGUCC
Molecule: ribosomal RNA, 745 nt
Filed under: uncultured bacterium
Lineage: Bacteria
Description: bacterial SSU rRNA
Rfam family: Bacterial small subunit ribosomal RNA
Source: RNAcentral